GAUGAACGCUGGCGGCGUGCUUAACACAUGCAAGUCGAACGAUGAAGCCCAGCUUGCUGGGUGUAUUCGUGGCGAACGGGUGAGUAACACGUGAGUAACCUGCCCUUAACUCUGGGAUAAGCCUGGGAAACUGGGUCUAAUACCGGAUAGGAGCGUCCACCGCACGGUGGGUGUUGGAAAGAUUUAUCGGUUUUGGAUGGACUCGCGGCCUAUCAGCUUGUUGUUGAGGUAAUGGCUCACCAAGGCGACGACGGGUAGCCGGCCUGAGAGGGUGACCGGCCACACUGGGACUGAGAGACGGCCCAGACUCCUACGGGAGGCAGCAGUGGGGAAUAUUGCACAAUGGGCGCAAGCCUGAUGCAGCGACGCCGCGUGAGGGAUGACGGCCUUCGGGUUGUAAACCUCUUUCAGUAGGGAAGAAGCGAAAGUGACGGUACCUGCAGAAGAAGCACCGGCUAACUACGUG
This 466-nucleotide ribosomal RNA is filed under the name uncultured bacterium. Its description in RNAcentral is "partial 16S ribosomal RNA". It matches the Rfam family "Bacterial small subunit ribosomal RNA", at positions 28 to 507 of the family's 1533-position model. The record is from RNAcentral.